Molecule: long non-coding RNA, 749 nt
Organism: Pseudophryne corroboree (corroboree frog)
Lineage: Eukaryota; Metazoa; Chordata; Amphibia; Anura; Myobatrachidae
Exons: 2
Source: RefSeq, a predicted model, not a curated record
GUGCUAGGUUUCUAGGUGCUCUAGGCAAAGUUUCACUCUAUUGCCCCUGCUUACCCAAGUCCAUGUUCUGUAGUUAUACGCAGUGCCGUUUCUAGCGGUGGGCGAGCCGUGCAGGAGCGCUCGGGGAGAGGGAGGAGAGGUGAUAAGGAAGGAGGAGGCGGCCGGCGUGAGGGACGUGAGUUGGCGGUACCCGAAGAGCGGGAAGUUAUAACUGAGGUGAUCUGGGCUCAUCACUCUGCGAACUCGCCAAUAGUGCCAGUGGUGGCUGGGGUGACACUGCCGAUAGUCUUCGCCUGGGUGGGGAUGAUGGAGGUGCAGAAUCAGAGCCAAGACGCCGUGUCUUAGUUGGCCUCCUGGGUAAGUGUCCCAAGCCCUGUGAUGGGCGCCUUACAGGAGGUCGGCUUCCAGAAGCAGAACCUAGGUGCAAAAUUUAGCAUUAUUAUUUUGUACUUCUAUGUGUUUUCAGAAUAUGUGACUACAGUGAAGACUUACCUGCAAUACCACCAUCAUCCUGACUGGUCUGAGGCCUGUCUGGGCGGCUGGUCUGUGUGACUGUGGAAAAAGUGACCCCAACAUUAUUACCAUGUUUUUUGUCAAAUGAACCAGUGAAAACCAUUAAUGUACUGUAAGCAUCUAUUUGGUUUGGUUUCCAUAAAAAAAAUAAGCUUAAGAGCUUCUAUAUUCAUGAUUUUUAGUUGAAUAUCAAAAUGUACUUGAUGUGGCACACAAUAAAGUUUAUACCUAAAAGA